Molecule: ribosomal RNA, 1387 nt
Filed under: Staphylococcus warneri
Lineage: Bacteria; Bacillati; Bacillota; Bacilli; Caryophanales; Staphylococcaceae
Description: bacterial SSU rRNA
Rfam family: Bacterial small subunit ribosomal RNA
Source: RNAcentral
UAGCGAACAGAUAAGGAGCUUGCUCCUUUGACGUUGUAACACGUGGAUAACCUACCUAUAAGACUGGGAUAACUUCGGGAAACCGGAGCUAAUACCGGAUAACAUAUUGAACCGCAUGGUUCAAUAGUGAAAGGCGGCUUUGCUGUCACUUAUAGAUGGAUCCGCGCCGUAUUAGCUAGUUGGUAAGGUAACGGCUUACCAAGGCAACGAUACGUAGCCGACCUGAGAGGGUGAUCGGCCACACUGGAACUGAGACACGGUCCAGACUCCUACGGGAGGCAGCAGUAGGGAAUCUUCCGCAAUGGGCGAAAGCCUGACGGAGCAACGCCGCGUGAGUGAUGAAGGUCUUCGGAUCGUAAAACUCUGUUAUCAGGGAAGAACAAAUGCACAUCUUGACGGUACCUGAUCAGAAAGCCACGGCUAACUACGUGCCAGCAGCCGCGGUAAUACGUAGGUGGCAAGCGUUAUCCGGAAUUAUUGGGCGUAAAGCGCGCGUAGGCGGUUUUUUAAGUCUGAUGUGAAAGCCCACGGCUCAACCGUGGAGGGUCAUUGGAAACUGGAAAACUUGAGUGCAGAAGAGGAAAGUGGAAUUCCAUGUGUAGCGGUGAAAUGCGCAGAGAUAUGGAGGAACACCAGUGGCGAAGGCGACUUUCUGGUCUGUAACUGACGCUGAUGUGCGAAAGCGUGGGGAUCAAACAGGAUUAGAUACCCUGGUAGUCCACGCCGUAAACGAUGAGUGCUAAGUGUUAGGGGGUUUCCGCCCCUUAGUGCUGCAGCUAACGCAUUAAGCACUCCGCCUGGGGAGUACGACCGCAAGGUUGAAACUCAAAGGAAUUGACGGGGACCCGCACAAGCGGUGGAGCAUGUGGUUUAAUUCGAAGCAACGCGAAGAACCUUACCAAAUCUUGACAUCCUUUGACCGCUCUAGAGAUAGAGUCUUCCCCUUCGGGGGACAAAGUGACAGGUGGUGCAUGGUUGUCGUCAGCUCGUGUCGUGAGAUGUUGGGUUAAGUCCCGCAACGAGCGCAACCCUUAAGCUUAGUUGCCAUCAUUAAGUUGGGCACUCUAAGUUGACUGCCGGUGACAAACCGGAGGAAGGUGGGGAUGACGUCAAAUCAUCAUGCCCCUUAUGAUUUGGGCUACACACGUGCUACAAUGGACAAUACAAAGGGCAGCUAAACCGCGAGGUCAAGCAAAUCCCAUAAAGUUGUUCUCAGUUCGGAUUGUAGUCUGCAACUCGACUACAUGAAGCUGGAAUCGCUAGUAAUCGUAGAUCAGCAUGCUACGGUGAAUACCGGGUCUUGUACACACCGCCCGUCACACCACGAGAGUUUGUAACACCCGAAGCCGGUGGAGUAACCAUUUAUGGAGCUCGUCGAAGGUGGGAC